UUCUUUCUCUUUUUCAUCCAUGCUCUCUUGCUCUUCUGCCUUCCACCAUGGGAUGGUGCAGCAAAAACACUCUCACCAGAUGUGAGCCCCCUUGACCUUGGACUUCCUGGCCUCCAGAGCUUUAAGAGAUAAGUUUCUGUUCUUAAUAAACUACCCAGACUCACAUAUUCUGUUACAGCAGCAUGAAGCAGACAAAGACUAUAUGUGUGUAAAUACACCCCCCCCACACACACAUAUAUAGAAAAAUAUAUAUUUAUAUGUACAAGAUAUAUACCAUUUAGGAUGUUUUUAACAUCAAGAGCUUGGAUAUAGGAACAUGUUCUGAUGGGAGCUCUGCUGGGGUUUUUAAGGUUAGCACAAGGGAAACAUUGAAACAAAAUGCUUUCUCUACGCAAAGUGUGAUUUGGUUUUGCAUAAUGCAUUGUGCUUCAGGUGCCAAGUUCCAGACACAAGGAGAAUUAAUGGAAUAGCAUCAGUAAAGGGCUUUAGACUCCUCAGAGGAAGUUCCCCAGCCUCAUUAAAGGUAGCCCUGUUGGAGCUGGAAAUUAUUUUUAUCUGCUAUUCUGGACUUCCUUCCAUCAUCUGGAAGGAUUAUCACUCCUGGUGCACCCCUACUUUGAAGAGUUGCAUUUAUUCAUUACUGCAAAUGAGGCUUUAAAAUGACUCAUCACAUAAAUAAAAUUCAAUGGAAAUUCAAGGAGGAAACAGAUGGAGAUGCCUACAAGGACAAUUGAGAAAAUAAUCUUAAAGAAGGAGGAAUUUAAGGUAAUCCUUGAAGAAUAGGUCUUACUUCAACAUGCCAUGAUGGGAAGAGGG
RNAcentral lists this long non-coding RNA (816 nucleotides) under Pan troglodytes (chimpanzee). Its description in RNAcentral is "lncRNA (ENSPTRG00000053010.1)". Lineage: Eukaryota; Metazoa; Chordata; Mammalia; Primates; Hominidae. The record is from RNAcentral.